This 623-nucleotide ribosomal RNA is filed under the name uncultured bacterium. RNAcentral's name for it is "bacterial SSU rRNA". It matches the Rfam family "Bacterial small subunit ribosomal RNA", at positions 1 to 604 of the family's 1533-position model. The record is from RNAcentral.
UAGAGUUUGAUCCUGGCUCAGAACGAACGCUGGCGGCGUACUUAACACAUGCAAGUCGAACGAGAAAGGAACCUUCGGGUUCUGAGUAGAGUGGCGCACGGGUGAGUAACACGUGGAUAAUCUGCCUGAUGGACAGGGAUAACACUCCGAAAGGAGUGCUAAUACCAGAUAAGCCCACAGCAUCUACGGAUGCAGCGGGAAAAGGGGGCCUCUUCAUGAAAGCUUCCGUCAUCAGAUGAGUCCGCGGUCCAUUAGCUAGUUGGUAGGGUAACGGCCUACCAAGGCGACGAUGGAUAGCUGGUUUGAGAGAAUGAUCAGCCACACUGGAACUGAGACACGGUCCAGACUCCUACGGGAGGCAGCAGUGGGGAAUCUUGCGCAAUGGGGGCAACCCUGACGCAGCAACGCCGCGUGAGUGAUGAAGGUUUUCGGAUCGUAAAGCUCUGUCAAGAGGGAAGAAACCCCGAUCGGCCAAUACCCGAUCGGAUUGACGGUACCUCUAAAGGAAGCACCGGCUAACUCCGUGCCAGCAGCCGCGGUAAUACGGAGGGUGCGAGCGUUGUCCGGAAUUAUUGGGCGUAAAGCGCGUGCAGGCGGUUUGUUAAGUCUGAUGUGAAAGCCCC